This 506-nucleotide ribosomal RNA is filed under the name uncultured bacterium. RNAcentral's name for it is "partial 16S ribosomal RNA". It matches the Rfam family "Bacterial small subunit ribosomal RNA", at positions 29 to 523 of the family's 1533-position model. The record is from RNAcentral.
AGUGAACGCUGGCGGUAGGCCUAACACAUGCAAGUCGAACGGCAGCACAGGAGAGCUUGCUCUCUGGGUGGCGAGUGGCGGACGGGAGAGGAAUACAUCGGAAUCUACUUUUUCGUGGGGGAUAACGUAGGGAAACUUACGCUAAUACCGCAUACGACCUACGGGUGAAAGCAGGGGAUCUUCGGACCUUGCGCGAUUGAAUGAGCCGAUGUCGGAUUAGCUAGUUGGCGGGGUAAAGGCCCACCAAGGCGACGAUCCGUAGCUGGUCUGAGAGGAUGAUCAGCCACACUGGAACUGAGACACGGGCCAGACUCCUACGGGAGGCAGCAGUGGGGAAUAUUGGGCAAUGGGCGCAAGCCUGAUCCAGCCAUACCGCGUGGGUGAAGAAGGCCUUCGGGUUGUAAAGCCCUUUUGUUGGGAAAGAAAUCCAGCUGGUUAAUACCCGGUUGGGAUGACGGUACCCAAAGAAUAAGCACCGGCUAACUUCGUGCCAGCCGCCGCAGUAA